CGCAAGUCUAUUCUGCACAGACUCCAGUCAGCCAUGUUGGUUCCCGCGAGUCUCAGCUCAUGGGCGAAUUUUGUUGCAGAUGGAAGAAGCAGGGCUCAAUCACCAUCGACACGGUUUCCAGUUCUCCACUUCCUCCCAGUUCCUUGAUGUGUCAAUCCAGAUAUCUGGCAUAUGCAACUUCCUCCUGGUGAACACCUCCAUAUGGAACAUCCAGAUACAACCUUCUUGACUCAUCCCACUGACUCACCCCACAUGGACCGUGCAGAUAUGCCACAGUAGCCACCUCUCAGUCACAGCAUGACUUCUGGAACUUGUGCCUGCUUGCUUCAAACCCACCGAUUAAAACUUCCUGCAGGAAAUCUGUAUAGAGAAUGCCCUAGACUCCAAUAAAGACUGGAAACACUCUUUUUGUAGAAUCUGCGAAGGGACAUUUUGGAGCCCAUUGAAGCCUAUAGUGAAAAACCGAAUAUUCUACGAUAGAAACCAUGGAGGCCUAUAGUGAAAAACUGAAUAUCCCAUGAUAAAAAACAGAAAGAAGCUAUCUGCGAAACCACUUUGCGAUGUGUGGAUUCAUCUCACAGAGUUAAACCUUUCUUCUGAUUCAGCAGACUGGAAACACUCUUUUUGUAGAAUCUGUGAGGGGACAUUUCGGAGCCCAUUGAGGCCUAUAGUGAAAAACCGAAUAUCCUGAGAUAAAAACUAGAAAGAAGCUAUCUGUGAGACCGCUUUGCGAUGUAUGAAUUCAUCUCACAGAGUUAAACCUUUCUUCUGAUUCAGCAGACUGGAAACACUCUUUUUGUAGAAUCUGUGACGGGACAUUUCGGAGCCCAUUGAGACCUGUAGUGAAAAACCGAAUAUCCCACAAUAAAAACUAGAAAGAAGUUAUCUGUGAAACCGCUUUGCGAUGUUUGUUUUUAAAAUCCUCCUCUUCCCACUAGAAUGUAAGCUUCAGAAGAACAGGCUAUUCAUUCUGCCCACUGUGUGCACCCAGCCUGGAACGGUGCCCAGAGUGGGUUAGUGUGCGGUGUGCACGUACUGACCUGGUGGUGAUGAAGGGCGCAGGAAGGACACGCGACCUGAUCUUUAUCCUAAGGAGCCCACACUGGAACAGGAUUAGAUUGAAGGUAG
This 1128-nucleotide long non-coding RNA is filed under the name Homo sapiens (human). RNAcentral describes it as "HSALNT0068809". The record is from RNAcentral. Lineage: Eukaryota; Metazoa; Chordata; Mammalia; Primates; Hominidae.